RNAcentral lists this ribosomal RNA (413 nucleotides) under uncultured bacterium. Its description in RNAcentral is "bacterial SSU rRNA". It matches the Rfam family "Bacterial small subunit ribosomal RNA", at positions 505 to 916 of the family's 1533-position model. The record is from RNAcentral.
GUGCCAGCAGCCGCGGUAAUACGUAGGGUGCGAGCGUUAAUCGGAAUUACUGGGCGUAAAGCGUGCGCAGGCGGUUGUGUAAGUCAGAUGUGAAAUCCCCGGGCUCAACCUGGGAACUGCAUUUGAGACUGCACGGCUAGAGUGUGGCAGAGGGGGGUAGAAUUCCACGUGUAGCAGUGAAAUGCGUAGAGAUGUGGAGGAAUACCGAUGGCGAAGGCAGCCCCCUGGGCCAAUACUGACGCUCAUGCACGAAAGCGUGGGGAGCAAACAGGAUUAGAUACCCUGGUAGUCCACGCCCUAAACGAUGUCAACUAGGUGUUGGAAGGGUUAAACCUUUUAGUGCCGUAGCUAACGCGUGAAGUUGACCGCCUGGGGAGUACGGCCGCAAGGCUAAAACUCAAAGAAAUUGGCGG